This 1622-nucleotide long non-coding RNA is filed under the name Schizosaccharomyces pombe (fission yeast). Lineage: Eukaryota; Fungi; Ascomycota; Schizosaccharomycetes; Schizosaccharomycetales; Schizosaccharomycetaceae. The record is from RNAcentral.
CCGUUGCAUACAAAUACAUAGGUAAAUGAAUGGACUAAGAGUGUUUGAGCAUGUACACUGUUCUGUACUGUAUAAGUUUAAUAAUAUUGUAAAGUUUGAUCUUUACAAUGUCCUUCUUUUUCUUCUUUUUCUUUUGCCCGUUUUGUUUGUUUUUGCUCGGUCUAUGAUAGAAUUCGAUGAUACCUAUCCAGAGUCAGUAAGUAAGGUAAGGUAGGGCAAAAAAGGGUAGGUAAAAAAAUCUGAUGUAGCUGUUUAAGUGGAAAUUAAAGAUGAUGAGAAAAUUCGACGACAUUUAUAAGAUGAAGGUUUCAGUGUUCCAUACGUUCUUUGUUACCAUGAUUCUUUGUUUUCUAAAGCGGGAAACUUACGGGAAUAAUUUAUAAUACUGCGCAGUUAUGUUAUGUUGGCCAUAACGAGAGCGAUGAUGAAUCAUAAUGAUCCAUCAUGGCGAUCAAAUGAGACGGAAACCAAAAAACCGUACGAAGAUGGACACCGAUUGGAAUACAAAUUCAUAAGGAGCAAGUGUCAGUAAUAAGAGAGUGAUAUUAAUGAUGAAAGAAUAAUAUCAACAACAAAAAAAGUAACAUUAUUUGUGAAUGAGUAAUAUACGCUGCGUACGUAGCAAUGUUGCAUGUCAAAAACAGAAACAAAAUUAGAGAUUGUGUGCCAGUGCAAACAAAGAGGCCUUGUAGCAUAAGAAUCGCCAAAUUGCAAUGGGCUUAUUAAGAGUAUUUUUGAUUACUUACAUUCACUCUGUCAGCGAGCCAGACCUUCCCAGAAACCGCCUCUUCGAUCAACCCAUUUGCCUCAUUUGUUGAUAUUUGCACUGUUUGUCGGUAAACACAUUGCUUGUUUUCACCAUUUGCUGCUCUCGAGCCUCCCUUGUCUUCCUCGAUCCGAAAUAUACCGUCUUGCUAAUUGCAAUAAGUUACAAUUCCAAAUCUCCUUACUACGUUGCUGCCUUAGGAUUGUGCCUUAUUCCGCGGAGAGCAUUCACGGAAGAAUUAUAAAACUAUUAUUGUACACCAAAUUACAAAAAUGGACUUUAAUUUAACAAAAAAAUUUUUCCUUUCCUUCUAUGGAUGUCUUUGCUUUUCAACUUUUAUCCUUUCUCUUUUGAAUUAAAAAUACUGAUUGAACCUCUUUUUAAUAAUAUUUAUUUUCUUAUAUACGAACGGUCACAAGGGCAUUAUUCAUCGGCUUCCUGCGUAUUUUGCAGAUCAGGCGGAUACAGAUCGACGGGAUGCUCCUGACCUUAUGAAUAGACUGGUACGAGUAAGGCCAACUGUGAUGAUUUCUAAUAAAACUAAUAAGCAAUUUGUAGCCUCGAAGCUUUUGCGCUGGUAGGUUACAAUAGAGUAUUUCUUGCAACAGUAGACACCUCUCACUUGCUACGUAUUACUUGUGGCGUGGGGACAUACUGAGCUUAUGGGAGGAAACAAAACAAUGACAGUGAGAUCAGAUCAGAUUUAGCACCAUGAAUAUGAUUGAGAAUUCCUUCUAUCCAUUUUUGUAAACUUCUCAAGGAAAUAUUAUAUUACACAGGAAAUCAUUGUAUUUCUAUCGGUAUAUUAUCAUACACCAAAAUCUUUAGCGGUUAACUUUCUCGCACUGUAUACACA